RNAcentral lists this microRNA precursor (88 nucleotides) under Populus trichocarpa (black cottonwood). Its description in RNAcentral is "miR1444e stem-loop (ptc-MIR1444e)". Lineage: Eukaryota; Viridiplantae; Streptophyta; Magnoliopsida; Malpighiales; Salicaceae. The record is from miRBase by way of RNAcentral.
GUUUAUCACUCGAACGUUGACCGAAUGUGAAUGAAACAUUUAACCAUCAUAUUUCAUACAUAUUCGAUCAAUAUUCGAGGGAUAAAAA